RNAcentral lists this ribosomal RNA (497 nucleotides) under uncultured bacterium. RNAcentral describes it as "partial 16S ribosomal RNA". It matches the Rfam family "Bacterial small subunit ribosomal RNA", at positions 28 to 507 of the family's 1533-position model. The record is from RNAcentral.
GAUGAACGCUGGCGGCGUGCCUAAUACAUACAAGCCGAGCGAACGGACGAGGAGCUUGCUUUUCUGAUGUUAGCGGCGGACGGGUGAGUAACACGUGGAUAACCUACCUAUAAGACUGGGAUAACUUCGGGAAACCGGAGCUAAUACCGGAUAAUAUUUUGAACCGCAUGGUUCAAAAGUGAAAGACGGUCUUGCUGUCACUUAUAGAUGGAUCCGCGCUGCAUUAGCUAGUUGGUAAGGUAACGGCUUACCAAGGCAACGAUGCAUAGCCGACCUGAGAGGGUGAUCGGCCACACUGGAACUGAGACACGGUCCAGACUCCUACGGGAGGCAGCAGUAGGGAAUCUUCCGCAAUGGGCGAAAGCCUGACGGAGCAACGCCGCGUGAGUGAUGAAGGUCUUCGGAUCGUAAAACUCUGUUAUUAGGGAAGAACAUAUGUGUAAGUAACUGUGCACAUCUUGACGGUACCUAAUCAGAAAGCCACGGCUAACUACGUG